GAUGAACGCUGGCGGCGUGCCUAAUACAUGCAAGUCGAGCGAACGGACGAGAAGCUUGCUUCUCUGAUGUUAGCGGCGGACGGGUGAGUAACACGUGGAUAACCUACCUAUAAGACUGGGAUAACUUCGGGAAACCGUAGCUAAUACCGGAUAAUAUUUUGAACCGCAUGGGUCAAAAGUGAAAGACGGUCUUGCUGUCACUUAUAGAUGGAUCCGCGCUGCAUUAGCUAGUUGGUAAGGUAACGGCUUACCAAGGCAACGAUGCAUAGCCGACCUGAGAGGGUGAUCGGCCACACUGGAACUGAGACACGGUCCAGACUACUACGGGAGGCAGCAGUCGGGAAUCUUCCGCAAUGGGCGAAAGCAUGACGGAGCAACGCCGCGUGAGUGAUGAAGGUCUUCGGAUCGUAAAAAUCUGUUAUUAGGGAAGAACAUAUGUGUAAGUAACUGUGCACAUCUUGACGGUACCUAAUCAGAAAGCCACGGCUAACUACGUG
RNAcentral lists this ribosomal RNA (497 nucleotides) under uncultured bacterium. Its description in RNAcentral is "partial 16S ribosomal RNA". It matches the Rfam family "Bacterial small subunit ribosomal RNA", at positions 28 to 507 of the family's 1533-position model. The record is from RNAcentral.